UUUAUGGAGAGUUUGAUCCUGGCUCAGGAUGAACGCUGGCGGCGUGCCUAAUACAUGCAAGUCGAGCGAACGGACGAGAAGCUUGCUUCUCUGAUGUUAGCGGCGGACGGGUGAGUAACACGUGGAUAACCUACCUAUAAGACUGGGAUAACUUCGGGAAACCGGAGCUAAUACCGGAUAAUAUUUUGAACCGCAUGGUUCAAAAGUGAAAGACGGUCUUGCUGUCACUUAUAGAUGGAUCCGCGCUGCAUUAGCUAGUUGGUAAGGUAACGGCUUACCAAGGCAACGAUGCAUAGCCGACCUGAGAGGGUGAUCGGCCACACUGGAACUGAGACACGGUCCAGACUCCUACGGGAGGCAGCAGUAGGGAAUCUUCCGCAAUGGGCGAAAGCCUGACGGAGCAACGCCGCGUGAGUGAUGAAGGUCUUCGGAUCGUAAAACUCUGUUAUUAGGGAAGAACAUAUGUGUAAGUAACUGUGCACAUCUUGACGGUACCUAAUCAGAAAGCCACGGCUAACUACGUGCCAGCAGCCGCGGUAAUACGUAGGUGGCAAGCGUUAUCCGGAAUUAUUGGGCGUAAAGCGCGCGUAGGCGGUUUUUUAAGUCUGAUGUGAAAGCCCACGGCUCAACCGUGGAGGGUCAUUGGAAACUGGAAAACUUGAGUGCAGAAGAGGAAAGUGGAAUUCCAUGUGUAGCGGUGAAAUGCGCAGAGAUAUGGAGGAACACCAGUGGCGAAGGCGACUUUCUGGUCUGUAACUGACGCUGAUGUGCGAAAGCGUGGGGAUCAAACAGGAUUAGAUACCCUGGUAGUCCACGCCGUAAACGAUGAGUGCUAAGUGUUAGGGGGUUUCCGCCCCUUAGUGCUGCAGCUAACGCAUUAAGCACUCCGCCUGGGGAGUACGACCGCAAGGUUGAAACUCAAAGGAAUUGACGGGGACCCGCACAAGCGGUGGAGCAUGUGGUUUAAUUCGAAGCAACGCGAAGAACCUUACCAAAUCUUGACAUCCUUUGACAACUCUAGAGAUAGAGCCUUCCCCUUCGGGGGACAAAGUGACAGGUGGUGCAUGGUUGUCGUCAGCUCGUGUCGUGAGAUGUUGGGUUAAGUCCCGCAACGAGCGCAACCCUUAAGCUUAGUUGCCAUCAUUAAGUUGGGCACUCUAAGUUGACUGCCGGUGACAAACCGGAGGAAGGUGGGGAUGACGUCAAAUCAUCAUGCCCCUUAUGAUUUGGGCUACACACGUGCUACAAUGGACAAUACAAAGGGCAGCGAAACCGCGAGGUCAAGCAAAUCCCAUAAAGUUGUUCUCAGUUCGGAUUGUAGUCUGCAACUCGACUACAUGAAGCUGGAAUCGCUAGUAAUCGUAGAUCAGCAUGCUACGGUGAAUACGUUCCCGGGUCUUGUACACACCGCCCGUCACACCACGAGUUUGUAACACCCGAAGCCGGUGGAGUAACCUUUUAGGAGCUAGCCGUCGAAGGUGGGACAAAUGAUUGGGGUGAAGUCGUAACAAGGUAGCCGUAUCGGAAGGUGCGGCUGGAUCACCUCCUUU
RNAcentral lists this ribosomal RNA (1550 nucleotides) under Staphylococcus aureus. Its description in RNAcentral is "16S ribosomal RNA". It matches the Rfam family "Bacterial small subunit ribosomal RNA". Lineage: Bacteria; Bacillati; Bacillota; Bacilli; Caryophanales; Staphylococcaceae. The record is from RNAcentral.